Molecule: ribosomal RNA, 461 nt
Filed under: uncultured bacterium
Lineage: Bacteria
Description: bacterial SSU rRNA
Rfam family: Bacterial small subunit ribosomal RNA
Source: RNAcentral
CACAGUAGAGUAGCAAGUACGAGUGGUGGCCGACCGGCGCGACGGUGACGUAACACGUAUGCAACCUACCUUUAACAGGGGAAUAACCCGUUGAAAAACGGACUAAUACUCCAUAACACAGGGGUCCCGCAUGGGAAUAUUUGUUAAAGAUUUAUCGGUUGAAGAUGGGCAUGCGUUCCAUUAGCUUGUUGGUGAGGUAACGGCUCACCAAGGCUACGAUGGAUAGGGGAACUGAGAGGUUUAUCCCCCACACUGGAACUGAGACACGGUCCAGACUCCUACGGGAGGCAGCAGUGAGGAAUAUUGGUCAAUGGAGGCAACUCUGAACCAGCCAAGUCGCGUGAAGGAAUGAAGGUCUUAUGGAUUGUAAACUUCUUUUGCAAGGGAAUAAAGUGGGGGACGUGUCCUCCUUUGCAUGUACCUUGCGAAUAAGGAUCGGCUAACUCCGUGCCAGCAGCAGC